UAACACGUGAGCAACCUGCCCCUGGCUCUGGGACAACCACUGGAAACGGUGGCUAAUACCGGAUACGACCUACACAGGCAUCUGUUGUGGGUGGAAAGUUUUUCGGCUGGGGAUGGGCUCGCGGCCUAUCAGCUUGUUGGUGGGGUGAUGGCCUACCAAGGCGACGACGGGUAGCCGGCCUGAGAGGGCGACCGGCCACACUGGGACUGAGACACGGCCCAGACUCCUACGGGAGGCAGCAGUGGGGAAUAUUGCACAAUGGGCGAAAGCCUGAUGCAGCGACGCCGCGUGAGGGAUGACGGCCUUCGGGUUGUAAACCUCUUUCAGCUCCGAAGAAGCGCAAGUGACGGUAGGAGCAGAAGAAGCACCGGCUAACUACGUGCCAGCAGCCGCGGUAAUACGUAGGGUGCAAGCGUUGUCCGGAAUUAUUGGGCGUAAAGAGCUCGUAGGCGGUGUGUCGCGUCUGCUGUGAAAACUCAGGGCUCAACUCUGAGCUUGCAGUGGGUACGGGCACACUUGAGUGCUGUAGGGGAGACUGGAAUUCCUGGUGUAGCGGUGAAAUGCGCAGAUAUCAGGAGGAACACCGGUGGCGAA
Molecule: ribosomal RNA, 594 nt
Filed under: Kineococcus sp. 09WSH1-28
Lineage: Bacteria; Bacillati; Actinomycetota; Actinomycetes; Kineosporiales; Kineosporiaceae
Description: bacterial SSU rRNA
Rfam family: Bacterial small subunit ribosomal RNA
Source: RNAcentral